RNAcentral lists this unclassified non-coding RNA (60 nucleotides) under synthetic construct. The record is from RNAcentral.
UUUGUGUACUAUCCUUGCGUCAAUUCCACAGCUGUUUCUUACCAUGAGGGUUACCCGUCU